CUUUGACGUUAGCGGCGGACGGGUGAGUAACACGUGGGUAACCUACCUAUAAGACUGGGAUAACUUCGGGAAACCGGAGCUAAUACCGGAUAACAUUUGGAACCGCAUGGUUCUAAAGUGAAAGAUGGUUUUGCUAUCACUUAUAGAUGGACCCGCGCCGUAUUAGCUAGUUGGUAAGGUAACGGCUUACCAAGGCAACGAUACGUAGCCGACCUGAGAGGGUGAUCGGCCACACUGGAACUGAGACACGGUCCAG
Molecule: ribosomal RNA, 256 nt
Filed under: uncultured Staphylococcus sp.
Lineage: Bacteria; Bacillati; Bacillota; Bacilli; Caryophanales; Staphylococcaceae
Description: partial 16S ribosomal RNA
Rfam family: Bacterial small subunit ribosomal RNA
Source: RNAcentral